UCGCGGUUUGCACCGGCAGUCUUGUUAGAGUCCCCACCUUUACGUGCUGGUAACUAACAAUAGGGGUUGCGCUCGUUAUAGGACUUAACCUGACACCUCACGGCACGAGCUGACGACAACCAUGCAGCACCUUGUAAAUUGUCCGAAGAAAUACGUGUUUCCACAUACGUCAACCUACAUUUAAGCCCUGGUAAGGUUCCUCGCGUAUCAUCGAAUUAAACCACAUGCUCCACCGCUUGUGCGGGCCCCCGUCAAUUCCUUUGAGUUUCAUUCUUGCGAACGUACUCCCCAGGUGGGAUACUUAUCACUUUCGCUUAGCCACUCAAUCCGAAAAUCGAACAGCUAGUAUCCAUCGUUUACGGCGUGGACUAC
RNAcentral lists this unclassified non-coding RNA (372 nucleotides) under uncultured Flavobacteriaceae bacterium. RNAcentral describes it as "contains 16S-23S intergenic spacer region". Lineage: Bacteria; Pseudomonadati; Bacteroidota; Flavobacteriia; Flavobacteriales; Flavobacteriaceae. The record is from RNAcentral.